Molecule: ribosomal RNA, 687 nt
Filed under: Triticum aestivum (bread wheat)
Lineage: Eukaryota; Viridiplantae; Streptophyta; Magnoliopsida; Poales; Poaceae
Description: partial small subunit ribosomal RNA
Source: RNAcentral
AUGCAGGUGUUCUGGCCCAACUUCUUAUUUUUCCUUCUUUGUGGUCUGUCUGCUGCAGUGACUGACAUCGACGCCAAGUGCGGCAAUGCCUCUUCAAAUGAUUGGGAGGGCGAGUUCUUCCCGGGCUUUACCAAGAUCAACUAUGAGUUUAACAUUUGUCCUUCAAAAAAUGUACUGCAUGGUCCAACUAGGAAGAGGAUGCUUUCUUACAAGUGGUAUAACGCGGAGGAAGUGAUUCUUGUAAAGAAAAUGUUGCGGUUCAGUGUGGCAUUCUUGCAUAUGUUUCGGGGUACUGGAGGAGAUCCUUUUGGUGCACCUACAAAGAACUGGCCUUGGGAGGAUGGCACAAAUUCCCUGGCCAUGGCUAAGAGAAGAAGUCCAUGGCUGGAAUCAACAACUUAUGCUUCGAUUUCUAUUUCGGUGAUAUCUCAAUUCGAGUUCAUGAAGAAGCUUGGAGUUGACAGGUGGUGCUUCCAUGAGAGGGACAUCGCCCCUGAUGGCAAAACACUCGUGUUUUGGAAUAAUUAUCUUUCGUGCUUACUGGAAGGUAGAAAUAUGGUUGACGAUACACACCCAUUGGCAAAGUUUGAACCAGAGACAAAAUUGUCUCCUCUCUUUAGUUUAGAAUAUCUGAUUUUGUAUUCUUUUUCCAUUGGUGUGUACCUUAUGGUUAUUUUACUUGUAUAA